UAGAGGAGUGCUCGAAAGAGAGCCGUAACACGAGGUGCUGCAUGGCUGUCGUCAGCUCGUGUCGUGAGAUGUUGGGUUAAGUCCCGCAACGAGCGCAACCCUUAUCAUUAGUUGCUACGCAAGGGCACGUCUAAUGAGACUGCCGGUGACAAACCGGAGGAAGGUGGGGAUGACGUCAAGUCCUCAUGGCCCUUAUGGUAGGGCUGCACACGUGCUACAAUGGCCGGUACAAUGGGCUGCGAUGCCGCGAGGCGGAGCGAAUCCCAUAAAACCGGCCCCAGUUCGGAUCGGAGGCUGCAACUCGCCUCCGUGAAGUCGGAGUUGCUAGUAAUCGCGGAUCAGCAUGCCCGCGGUGAAUACGUUCCCGGGCCUU
RNAcentral lists this ribosomal RNA (373 nucleotides) under uncultured Comamonadaceae bacterium. RNAcentral's name for it is "bacterial SSU rRNA". It matches the Rfam family "Bacterial small subunit ribosomal RNA", at positions 1005 to 1382 of the family's 1533-position model. The record is from RNAcentral. Lineage: Bacteria; Pseudomonadati; Pseudomonadota; Betaproteobacteria; Burkholderiales; Comamonadaceae.